This 423-nucleotide ribosomal RNA is filed under the name uncultured bacterium. Its description in RNAcentral is "bacterial SSU rRNA". It matches the Rfam family "Bacterial small subunit ribosomal RNA", at positions 207 to 622 of the family's 1533-position model. The record is from RNAcentral.
AAGACCUUGCGCUUUUGGAGCGGCCGAUGUCUGAUUAGCUUGUUGGUGAGGUAAAAGCUUACCAAGGCUUCGAUCAGUAGCUGGUCUGAGAGGACGGCCAGCCACACUGGGACUGAGACACGGCCCAGACUCCUACGGGAGGCAGCAGUGGGGAAUUUUGGACAAUGGGGGCAACCCUGAUCCAGCCAUGCCGCGUGAGUGAAGAAGGCCUUCGGGUUGUAAAGCUCUUUCAGCCGGAACGAAACGGUUACGGUUAAUACCCGUGACUACUGACGGUACCGGAAGAAGAAGCACCGGCUAACUACGUGCCAGCAGCCGCGGUAAUACGUAGGGUGCGAGCGUUAAUCGGAAUUACUGGGCGUAAAGCGUGCGCAGGUGGUUUUGUAAGUCAGAUGUGAAAGCCCCGGGCUCAACCUGGGAACU